UACGUAUGGUGCAAGCGUUGUUCGGAAUUAUUGGGCGUAAAGGGCAUUCAGGCGGGAUGUUAAGUCGGAUGUGAAAUCCCAAGGCUCAACCUUGGAACUGCAUCCGAAACUGGCAUUCUUGAGUUAGGGAGAGGAAGGCGGAAUUCCCGGUGUAGCGGUGAAAUGCGUAGAUAUCGGGAAGAACACCAGUGGCGAAGGCGGCCUUCUGGCCUAUAACUGACGCUGAAGUGCGAAAGCGUGGGGAUCAAACGGG
Molecule: ribosomal RNA, 253 nt
Filed under: uncultured bacterium
Lineage: Bacteria
Description: partial 16S ribosomal RNA
Rfam family: Bacterial small subunit ribosomal RNA
Source: RNAcentral